AAAGGUAUUUUAGGAACACAGGUUAAUCUCCACAUUGUUUGAAGUGAAAGGAUGUGGAAAGAAGUUCAGACUCUACCAAGACACUCCUCCAUUGCUGCUGGUGAGCAUCUCACGGACAUUCAUGUGGCAGCCUUGCCCAGGGGUCUAUAUUAACAGUACCAUGGGAAGACAGUUGGGCUGUCUGACUCCUUCCCGGUUGCCUAUGAAUUGCUUCAGCCUGCAAAGAAAACAUCGUGGGACUUUGUUCAGAGAAGUAAACCAGCAUACAUUGAGUUCCACUGCCUUCAUUAUGGAAACUGCAUCUGUAACAACUUUGCAACCAGGCAGUACCUGCCCAGGAAAGCUGUCUCCUUCGGAGAGCUUGCAGCAUUGAUCUGGAAGAUGCUAUUAUGGUGUCUCCCACCCAUGCCCACAGGAUGCUCUCACUCAUUCAGGUUCUCAGCUGCCUGUCAGACUGGGCCAUGAUGAAACUCAACAUCUUGCAGAGACAUAAAAUGGAAAAUAGGCAACUCAUCAGAAAAGUAGCAGCUGUUUUACACCAUCACAAAACAAAAUCAUCAUACACUAAAAACUAGAUUUAGCAGUUUAAAAGAGCCGCUAACACAAAAUUAGCUGGAGACAACAGCGUGAUUUUGUAACUGACAGUGCUUCAUUCAAACGCCCUAAUUCAUGUAAAAACUACUUAGCAAACAUUAAACGCCUGAUGCUUUUGGAAAGGAGAAGAGCAUUCAGACUUUCAAUGGCUGCUUAGGAAGAAUGCAUAGAUUUAUUACAUCUUUUUUUUUUUCUUUUACAAAUUUUAAAUAAGCAUCAUAUCAAAAGUACCACCUCUUAAAUACCAGUGAUGCUACAGUCCUCCUGACAGAGGGAGACACCAUCCUUUAUUGGUGAGCUAUUGUGUUUACUGGGGGCUGACACCUGUAGAAAGGUUGUACGAGGCUUCUGUGAUGAAUGAGAUGAAAUAAGAAGGCCGUGAGCACUUUGGAUCAUCAAAUACUUCAAUAACUGGAUAUGGCUGUUCAUACAACCGUAAGUUCAUACACAUGGAGAGGAUAUAAAGAAGCAGCUGCCUUCUGAAUGAGCUUUCUGUUGCCUUCUCAUACGUGUACACAAUCUGUUCUAAAUGCCACACAAUCUUUCCUUUGUCCCAGAGGUAUUUCUCAUUGAGGAUGAAAAUUUCCCUGUGCUAUUGCUAUGUCCUGCCCAUAGCUAACACAGCUUCUGAAGGUUAGAAACUUGCCUGGCAAGAAAUGUAUCUAAGCCUAUUGCUACCAGAGUGUAUGUGGCUUGGCCAGAGACCUGUCAUCUAGCAACCAUGAAGGGAUGAUUUUUGAUUGCUUAGAACUAGAUUUAAGUUGUCCAUAUGACUACUAGGAGAAGAACUGGGUUUAUUUUUUCUUUUCUCCCAAAUCAAUCUAACGAUAGCAUCUAGUGCAUUUUCCCUGCCUGUGGAACAGGCUCAACUCCAUUGUCCUUAACAGUCCCUGUGGGUUUUGUAAAGUUAAUAGCUUAGAAAUAGCUUGGAAGAUUAAUAAUAAUACAUACGUGUCAAGAAGGGAAUAUUACCACUGACAGUAAUAGCAGUUAUGUUUGUGUAGAUGAAAUCCACAUGCUUUUCAAGAGAGGCAGGUCUCUGACAGCUCCUUUCUGACCUGAGUUACUGGGAGCACAUGCAUCAUUCAACAAAACAGCGCUGUCCUAGCUGAGGUGCUUCCAUGUCUCUGCAGUGGUAAACCCCUUUGCACUUCUAGUCUUGGGUGAUUCUCCCAUCAAGUCUCAUCCAACUGCUGCCUGACAAAGCAGUCCUGGUCUGGAUACAGAAUGAGGGAGGGAUAAAUAUUAAGCUGAAGCCUGGCUAUUUGUUCAGUGCAGACAAGUUGUGGCCCUGAAGAAGUCUUUUACCUUCCAAUAAAUUGAAGGGGUGGGGGUGUAAAAUGUUCCACAUCCUUCAAGGUUAUUUUUAUUUAGAUCCCACUCUUCAAAAGACUAUAUAUAUGGAUGCAAGAGUCAAGGUGCAAUCCAAAGUCUGAGAAGUUAUAGACUCCUUGAGACAGUCUCUGAUGGAUCUGAAUUUUUCAGCUAAAGAACAUCUAUGCUCUUGACCUGAGACCUAGAUUUCACAUUUCAGGAAUUAAAUGAGCAUCAUUUUCUAAAAGACAUUAGACCAAGGCUGGGCUACACAAAAGAUAGCUUCAGAAUUUAGAUGAAGACACUGACAUGACAAGGAGACUUAAAACCUGACAUAUUUUGCUUCUGUUGGAAAGCCAUACUUGGUUUGUUACACCCCACUGUGUCUUCUUAUGUGCAAGAGGCAAAGGAAAAGUGGAAGUUGUUUUGGACUGAGCAUCUCAGAAGGCAGAAGGCUCAGUGACCUAGAUGAUCUGGCCUUGUCUUAAAUUACUCUCUCCCCAAUUUAUCCUUAGACUGUGCCAAAAACCUGCCAAAGUAUAAUGGAAAUGUUUGCGAUCCCUGCCAAACUGUGAAGCCUCUGGCUCUGAGAUAUUUCAGAUGUCUUGAUUAGUCUGAAGGAGAUGGGCCUGAAAAUAAGGGAGUGUGAAAGGAAAAGAAAAGUAUUUCCUACCUGCAGCUGCAAAGCUGGGACUCAUGUCCAAGCGUUUGUCUUGCUCCUUCCAUACAGACAGAUGGACUUUCUCAGGAUAGAGUUCAACCUGCUUAAAAAAAAAAAAAAAAAAAGUUAAAAUUAAAAUUAAAAAAAAAUCAUGAUGGGGCAAGGAGACAAGAGCCUCCUCCCACAAAAGGACUGUAUUCAGCUACAAGCAGUGAACCCCUCACCUUUUCCUUGAUGCAAACGCUGACAUUUUUGCAGGCGUGUCCCAAAAUAGGGUUUUUCCGGAAGGCAGCCAGCUGCCCAGAUGUGCCACUGCUGCAGUCCUGAGGAGAUGAACAGAGGACCUUGCAGCAAGCAAGGAGCAGAGCCUAUGAAGAGACUGACUGCUCUUGUUUCAGAUCAGAUGGAUGGCUCUAAAUGACCUGGAAAGAUGUUCCCAGAGCUCUGAGCCACAGCAUUAAGAGCCAAGACACCACUAGCACUUCUGAAGUUGUUAUUAGUGACUGAAGUAGCACUUGUCAACUGCGACUACAGUUUCAAGCAAUAGUUUAACAGCAUCAACUUGAAGUAAGGUUAUAUCUCUGUGUGCCUGGUGUGCUGCUGACACUUAAAGGAAAUAAUUGGUAGACUUAGAGCAAGGGCAGACGCCAGAGGUAGAACAGUGGUAGAGGUUGGAUACUCAAAGCAUAAUUCAACAAUUCUGCAUGAAACAAGAGCUGAGAAUCCAUUGUAUGCCCUGGCAUAAAAGGCACAAGGAAGCUGUAACCCAGCCUGCAGAAAGUGCUCUGCUCUGUAGUCAUCAGCUGUGCUGCUCGGAUGUUUAAGGGCUCAUCUACAGCUGCAGUCUGCAGCCCUGUCCCAAUGAGAGGACAAAAACAUGUUGCCCCUUGCAGUUCUUGGCUGGCUUUUUUGGAAAGCACGUGUAAUGCAAUCUCCAGCUGAUUUCUGGCUUCAGGACAGCAAAGCCAAGAGAAAAUAUAUGGGUAUAUGUGCUUGUGUGCUGUGGAAAAGAAGACAGGAAAUUGUCUGGAAUGAAGCGCUCAGUCUCAUUUUACCUGUAGCUUGGCUGUGGGAUGCUAAAAUAGAGGAAUUAGCAUGCAAAUCCAGCAGUCCCUUGGCUGUCAUCACCUUCCAAUUAGCUGCAUUUGAUUUCGGUGGGCGCUGAUGGAUUGUGUCAGCAGGUGAGGCAGUAUGAGGAGAGGUGCUCUGGCUGCCACAGGCAGUAGAGGGCUGUGUGUGUGCCUGCUUUUCCCCUAUGCUGCCUGCUGGAAUGAUGCUGGCUGCCAAAAGAGAAGCACCAGAGGAACUGAUUCUGAUUUGAGUAUGGCCAGCAGGGUUUCAGCAGACCAUGCUAUAGCUGUACAAUGUAUGUGAAUUAGGAGGAUGUCUUCAAAGCGAAGAGUAGCUUGUGUUUGGUGAAACAAUUUGACGAAGCAGAAGAACUGCCAUGAGAAAAGGGCUGCCAGGGGAAUGUAGCCAAGACAGAUGUGACUUGGUCACACCAAUAAGUUAGGGAAAUUGCAUUUACAGAGCAAUUUUAAAGCACGGGAAUAUGAUCCAAUUUGUUCAGAAAAUGGGAUGUUUCCAUGAAUAAAAGCAAGCAAUCCCAAUCCUCUGCAAGAGUUUUAGUUUUGUGGAGGGCUGGAAAAUUCAGCAUCUUUUCUGUUUGUUCUUUAUGAAUAAAACUCUGAAGGAAACAGACACAUUUUUGGAUAAAAGAAAAAAAGCUCAGAAUAGAUUUAUGAGUCAUUGUCAUAGCAAUAAUAUUUGGGUUUGUACGCAUAGGCAGGAUUGCCAAGAGAAAAGUAUGGGAGCAGAAGAGGCAAAGGAUUAUUAUCUGCAAAGUCAACACAAAAUUGGAGGGUGGGGAUGGAGGUGAAGGGCCUCCUUCAGCCAACAAGAGCAGCAUCAGUGAAGGACUGAGUCACAAAUGCGCAGAAUUCACAGAGCAAGAGAAGACGUCAAAAGUGGCUGAUGGGUCAAAAGCCUGAGGCUGGCACUCUGCUCUUAGCUUUUGCCCAAGAAGAAAUAGGGGAAGAUUUUUUUUGAGAGUUAUUUCAGUUGGAGGUAUGAUUGGCUACAGAGGACAAAGGAGGUGGAGAAAGAAAACUGUAUAAGCCUAGAGAGGAAAGGGAGCUCCAGAGAUGCAUAUUAGACAAGGAGAAAAACUUACAACUUGAAAAAAUAAAGCACAUUAUUGCGAGAGCUGAAAUACAGAGAACACUGACAGGUUCAGGAGUAUGAGAAAAAAAUUGAGAGGGGAAACCGAAGAUCAGGACUUGAAAUUAGACUUCUAGGUUAUAAGGAUAUAAAAAGAAAAAUGCUUGACACUGAGAUGGCAGAAGGAGGAAGAAGAGCAGAACAACUUGAUUCAAUUUUCACUUCAGAGAAGUCAGCAAGAGCAUCCAGAGUUUAUUUGUAGAAGCAGCCAUGUAGUGGCAGUGAGGUCUUCAUAUCUCAUGUUGGAUGAUGGGGCACUGGGCAGCCUGCUCUGGUUGGUGACAACCAGCCCAUGGCCAGGGUUGGGGCUGGCUGGUUUUAAGGUCCCUUCAAACCUAAGAAUCUGUGAUUCUAAACAGUCACUAAAGCUCUAGAGAAUAUGCAGAUAUAAUAAACUAUAUAGCCUUUACACUGAAGUACAGUGGGUACUUUCAGAAUUUUAUGGUAUGUAUUUAAGUCACACCUUCACCUCAGGAUCUUCUAAACUCUAUGAACUAUUAGCAGCUGGAAAUGAAAAAUAAGAAAAAACUUGCAGGAAAAAUAUUGCAAUUCCUAUACAAGCUUGUAAAUACUGGUAUUGUAGUGUGCAGGUGGGAGCAUGUGUUUUAUAAUUCCAGAAAGUGACAGGUAGGGGAGCUCUUAUAAAUUUAUUAUUAUGCAGUAAAGCACACCAAAUAUAAGAAAAUAUGCUUAGUUUAGCGUAGGGAAAAAGAGAACAAAAAAUUAUUUUAGAACCUGUCCUCUUUUGUAGAAAUUGGGCUGGAAUUUAACAAUAUAUGUCAAGUGAGGUAAUUGUUUAGUUCUAAAGUAAAAUUCCAGGGAGUACCUUUUACAUUUACACAUGAAUGGUGAGCCAUCAUCUUAAGCUGACCAUGAAUUUCUAAUUUUCCCCCCACAAAAUCUUUCUUUUCUUACUUCUGCAAUGACCUGGCGCACACACAUACUAAGACUUCUAACGUAAACAAUAUCUUCAACUUGUUCAUCUUCCUCUAAUUUAUUACAUAUAGAGUGUGCCAUAAAUGAAGGCAAAAAGGGGAAAGUAGAGGAAGAAGUAAAAAAAAUGCAAUUGGAAGCAGAUGUUAGAAGCUGGGACCAGGGUUGGAGGAGGAGAGGACAAUGUUAGGAGACAAAAAUUGCUCAUACAUGGAGAAGUGGAGCUGGAGUGGACCAGACAACUCACCAGGAUGGGAGCAGAGGAUAUUCCAGCUGCAACCUGAGCUGCCAAAAUGGAGUCACAUUUAUUCUAAAAGCAAGGAACAGUGAGAGAAGAAUUUAAGCUACUGUUAACAACGACAUCCUGUUUACCUAUGGCGAUAGUAACGAUGGGACUUUGAGCUCUGCGUCAUCUCUUACGACUGCUUUUGAUUACCUUAAAACAGAGGAUGCCAAAGGAGCUUAGAAGAGCACCUUCGGCACCUGCCCCAAAACAGGACUGCAGAUCUUUCCCGCGUCUCGCUGAGAUUGAGAGCUUCUGUCCUUGAAAUGUUAAACUCAUUAUCUGGAAGGUGUGGACAGUGUCGUGUCUCAGAAAUCCAGCGCCCAGAAGAAAUCUGACAGAAGUGUGUCACAGGGUGGGGUGUGAGGGGGGAACUCCUGAGAAAUGUUGAGCGCGUGUCUUUUUUUGGCAAAGGGUGCUGGCCGGACUCGUCAGCUGAUAGCAUCCAUAGAGCUGGAAGACUGAAAAUGAACUGCAUUGCAACAGAGAUCUCACCACUGAAACAGCACACUGACAUUUAUAUUAGCUCUGUUUGACAUGACCUGACGGGCUCGGCUGGGUUGAAGCCAUGCCCGUGCAGCAUCCACCUGCUUCCCCCUUCCCCAGCCCUUUGCCAUAUGCCCUUCUCUCUGUCCUGGGAAGGAAGGAGAUCCUACCCAGCCCACUGCUGUUAGCUGCAGGAAAGGCAGCUCCUUGGCCAACGACACAAAGCCAAAAGUGGAAAGGUGAAGAAGUAGAAAAUGCUGUCGUAUGCAUAGACAGUGCUCUUAUGCUUCCCUGACUGUGGGGAGACUGACAAGCUCAAGAAGAAACUUGGUGGGGUCAGGAGAUUUUCCCCUCCUCCAGGCUAUGCUGUGCUUUGAUACUGAACUGAAGCGACCUCGAUGAAGUUACCUGAUUUACCUGGAGGUGGUAGGGAGAGAAUCCUCUCCAAUAAAUUGUAUCAAUUUAACGGGGAUCAUAUAUGAGAGAAAGGGAAGUCCAAGCCCUCGGUCCCCGGGGCUACUUUGGGGGCUGACUGUCAAGGUGUGUUUUUUAUUGUGUGUACCGCUUGUCUGAUGAUAGGAACUAAAUUGAGAAGAGGCUCAUUUCUCACAGGCCACUGAACAACCAGAAUGUGCUAACUGUCAUACGUAGGAAGCACUCAGGUGUCGGGAUUGUCAAGAGAGAAAGUGCAGCGCUUUUUAUUAACUGCAAGAGCAAUCAGCUCUGUCUGGGUCUGCUCAGUCUUGUGGAAACACAUAGUUCACACUGGGCAGUGCUCAGAGGCUUAACACAGGUAUCAGCACUGAGACUCCAGUAAUAACUUCACAUUAGAGCUGAUGCAUUAUGGACUGUUGCAUAGUCACAAUUAUACUGAUGGCACCUUGCAGCCUGAUCUCUGACUCAAAGGCAUUUCUUAAGUCUGAACAGGUUCAAUACUGCACGAUUCAGCUGUGUAUUUAAACACUAUUUUGUCUUGCAUGGUUGAUGGAAAGGCUGACAAGAUAUUUGUUGCCUGCUCAGAGGGUGGGUAUGCUGGAUCAGGCUCAGAACUCAGUAAAUGUCCAAAUGUAGUGCUUGAUCUAGCAGCCAGCAUCUCUACCUGUGGCAGAAGGUUUGGAACUAGAUUAUCUUCGAGGUCCCUUCCAACCCAAGCAGGUCUAUAAUUCUUGGUUUCUACAACAUGUGCCUACUUCAAGGUAAUAUCCUGGCCAGGCCUCAUGGUGCAUGGUAGAAAAACACUGAAAAGAAAGGCAGUGAGGAAGAUGACAUCAAAGCACUGGUGGCCGCUUCCUCAGCUCUGCUCAGUCCUUCCCUGAAAGCUGUAAAAAUGAUUCCAAAUUUUUGGAGGGUUAAACGUGAUUCUGGAAUAAAUUUGAUGAGCUUAAUUUGAAUUAAAUUUGGACUAAAUUCAACCACAGCUGAAAAAAAAAACCAAAACCCAAAAACCAACACAUUUCUGUAAACUAGUUCUCAUAGUAGCAACGUUGCCUUUGCUGGCUCUACGAAGGUUGAACGUAUCCAGAUCUCAUCCUCAUUCCUGAUACCACACCAUUGAGCUGUGCAGGAGAAGCUCUGGGGCUUUCUUUUCUCAGUGAGGAGAGACCCAAACCCCAUGACCUAAAGCCAUCAUCGCAGGUGGGUUCCAUGCAGCAUGUACACAAAAGAGGCCAAAUACCCCAGAAUCAGUACGUGGCUUCCUUACCACCUGGAGGUUAUCAGAAAGGCAUUAAGGGCUCCAUCUCUGUUAAGAAGUCAGCACUUAGCUGUGAGCUGCUACACCUCAGAGAGUCGCCUCCAGGACUCUGUGAUUCUUGUGGGUCCUUUCCAAGUCAGGAUAUUCUGUGAUUCAAUGACUCUGUGAAACAGUACUGGAGGAAUCUCUACCUGUUGCUUCAUCUAGUAGUUUUCUGCCAGAAAUAAGCAAAUUAUUAUUUUUCACUAGCCUAAAAUCAGUACACGAUUAAGUACAUAUAUGAAUAUAAGGUUCCAAUCUGUGUAUUUCACCUCUUUACCCAGAAAAAGCCCUGAGAAGAGCAUUAAAGCCAGAGGCCAGCUGAGCCAACUGAAAUGUUCACAGCUGACUGCAGCACAGCACUCACUUGCAGGCAAAGAAAAUAACCUACUGCACCAGAAAGAGAAAAGUGAAAUAUCCAAGGCCCACCAGCCACUGCUGAGCCUGAAUCUCUCCCUUUUCACAUUCUCUCAUACUAUCUCGUAUCACAGAAAACACAAACCCUUGGAGCCCUGCACAUGAUUCCACAGCCAGGUGGCACACCUUGAAGACAAGAGAAGUAACACAUGGGUCAGUCAGCUGUACAGUGGUUUGUGUCCUUAGCAGGUGCUUCAGUGUCAAAGAUAUUAAAUUCAGUUAUUUUCAGCUCUGUGCCAAGAACCGAAAAGGCCUGUUCUUCCUUCUCUACCCCCAUUCUAAUUAAGUUUAUAGGCAAGGACUAUCAGCUAGGCUGAGGGUUGAGCUGUCAAGUUAAGAGAGAAACGCCAGCAAGGCAAAACCUGCCAGCUGGAAAGACAGAGUUUCUGAUGGUGGCUGUACUUUCUGAAAAUUAUCUCUCCAGUCUCAUUUUUCAUAUGUUUCUCAAUAUAUCUCAUCUUUCUCUCUGUCUCUCACAUACCCAGGUGCACACAGGCACAUGUGAGUUAUGUGCUAUAGCAUCUUGCUUUGGUGGAUUGCCUCUGACUAUAUCAAAAUAUAUAUAAUAUAGCUAAGGGCUCUAUCCUUCUUCCAACUACCUCAGUGUAAUGCAGACUUCAUCUCAGAUGAUUUGACUCUAGACACAGGCUGUUCUGAUUUUCAGCAGGAACUGGCAAGACCAUAUCUGCAAAUCAUCCCUGCACACAUCUAUGUGCUUGUUCCUUGGUACAGCAAUUAUUGGGUUAAUUGUAGUAGAAUCUCUACAAUUAGUCAACUUUCUCAACAACCCUAGAGUGAAGUAACUCGUACCUUUAGAAAGGGUGGCUGAGAUGCAAGAAUAAUGAACCAUUGAUUAAGAUCUUGAAAAUAUUCAGGAGCAGAGCUAGAUUUCAGCCCCGAGAACGGCGGAUCACUGCCCUCUCUGGAGCACCUCAUGGAACCGGGCCCCCAGCAGGCAUUGCUGGCUGCCACAUGUGCUGCUUUCCUCCUGGCAGAAACAAAAAAUCUUUUCUAUUUUUUUGCGAGGUCUUUGAUUCAAAUCCUUCUCAAGCCAAUAUAGUAAAGUCCAAAUUCUCUUCUAUUAGGUCCUGAUAAACAAUGGGAGCAUUUGAACUUAUAAGUGUGAAAUGUAAAAACCCAUCAACCUUAAGGCAGCAAUAAACAGAAGCAGAGAAACAAUUCUCAGUUUAGUGCCUUACUACUGGACCUGGCUACAUCACUCUGUAUCCCAUGCAAUUCAGAGCUGGAAAAUGCAUCACUGUGAUAAUCAUCACAAUCCAGCUUAAUCUAGAGCACUUAGCACAUCUACUUUAGUAUUUACCAAGGAAAUUGGCAAAUCUCCCUCUUGAGAUGGAGGAGUAAGGACAGUGCUGGAAGUGCCAUGGGCUAUGAGAAGCACUGGCUUUCAGUCCUAGUGGGUUUGCAGCUCUCAGUUGAUGUUGCUGCAACUGCAUGGUGUAAAAUUGACUCAGAUUCCGAACCUCAUCUGUCAUCAGAUUUGUUGCACCUCCUACAGCUUUUUACUUUACAUCCAGCGUUUACUCAGGCCUCAGUCCCAAAUGACCUCUGUGAGACUGGCUGACACUAUAGCAAUCCAGAGGCACCUGCACCAAAAGGCAUAAGGCCCUAGCAUCUGUGGUAUGUUCCCUUUCUCCUGUUGAAUUGUCCUUCAGGACUUCACCUGGUCUGAACAUGCAAGUUCAACAAACUGGAGGAUGAUGUGAUCUGAUUACUACAUCUCCUAGAUCUGCCAUUGCACUGCAAAGCCCAAAAUGGAGUCCCAGAUUUUUCAUAAGGAAAACUCCUUCAACCAAUCCCGCUAACACUGUGAUGCUGAAGAGUUUCCCAAAAUUACAAAAAAAAAUCAGACAAGGCUGAAGGGAAAGAGAUACAAGAACUGAGUGGUAAAAAUCUUCUUAGGCAGAUAGCAGAACAGGGAACCUGCAGAAGGAGUGUCUAUACAAGAUGUGGGGCAGAGGGAAGAUGGGGCCCUUUGGAAGUUGAGCAGCAGAUCUUUCCUGCUACUACUCUGUUUUGCAAAAAAUAAAAAUAAAAAUAAAGGAGGGUUGGAAUGGCACGGUUGCAUGGAUGGCAUGGUUAAAAAGUCUUCCUUUAAGCAUUACUGGUAGGCAAGACAGAGAAUCAGGUCCAUGUGAUGUACUGAUACCCUAUUUAAGUAAAAUCAAAAGACUGAGGAUCGGGGGGCAGUUUAGAUCUCCUCAUGAAUGACUGAGGUUUAAGAUGCUCUGUGAUAUAAUCCGGACAAUCUAUCAUCUCCGUCCCCCCCACAGAGAGGAUAAUUAACACGGUAAAAUGCAGGAGGCUCAGUGCACCCCUUUCUGAUGUCAGGGGCCCAUUUUAAGGUCAAUGAUUGAAAUGCUCCAAUGGUGUCAGCUGAGCUUUUGCAUCCGUUGCUAGGAUUUUACUCACCAAGGACUCUUAAGGUGAUGUAUGUUCAUUAGUUUACAGGAAGAUAUAAUUACCCAUCCAAACUGCACCAUGUUUCAUUUGCUACUAACCUUCUGAUUCACCUAGGUAGGUGGCAAUGAGUGCAUUUGCUAACUGGUGAUUACCAAAUUAGUUGCAUGAUAAACCUUUUUCAACAUACCUUUUAGGGGAAAAAAAAAAAAGUAAAAUGAGUAAUGAGUUGAUCUUUUCCUUCAGCAUGCCAUAAUUUUUAUUCAUUUAACUUGAGCCAAUUUAUUAGGGGAGAGAGGGAGAGAGCUUGUGUUCCUUUGCACUUGCAUUGCAGAAGAGACAAACAAAGGGAAAAUUUCUGAAUGUGGUUAUAUUUAAAAAUUCACAUUAAUUAUAAACCCACACACUCUUCGUAAAGGCAGGGGCUACAGCCUGGCUGGGGGAGGGAAUAGGGGGUCAUGUAUAAAUUGUCUCCCAAGGACCCCACUGAAAUUUCCAUAGCGUUCACCAUAUGACACUGAUGUGUGAAAAUUGACAUGAAGAUUUGAAAAUUGGGACCGAGGGAGACCAAGCAUAAAAUAACUUCAAUUUUGCGCUUUCUCUGUCUCUCGGAGGAAUAGUGCAGUGGACUGACCAACACAACACAAACAAGCCAAGAGGAGAGAAAAAAAAUAUUCAGGGAGAAGGAUAGGAGUUAUUAAAGAGAAAACACACUCCUCACUCACUGAGAGAAAGGAUGAUCAAUGGAUUUAGUCACAGGGAAAUUCAAGCAGAAAAUUGCUGCUGUUUUUUAUCUGAGAGGCAGAAAGUUUAACCAAACCAGAAUUCUCUCGACUCACUCCUAGGCAAACAGUGAAAAAAACAGAGCUUUGUGAAAUGGUAGAAGUGAGUGUUUGUGCACGUGUGUGUAUAUUUUUGAGUGUGAUUUUACAGUUUUAUGAUGCCAAAUGAAUUGUUAUACAGAGCCCUCACCUCCAGAAGUCUGCGACUGGGAAGAUUUUAUAAGGUGUUUAUAAUCUGCCAUGAGAUUGAAAAUCCCAGCAAAAUUAGAAAGCCAACCCCAUCUAGUGUGAAUAGCCAUCAGAUGGAGUCACUGCACUCAGCUGCUAACACACAAGUUCUAUUCCUUCUUCAGAAUGAGGGCAAACAUGUAAAAUCACCAAUAAUAGAUCAGGAUAAGUAACAAAACAUUUGAAAACUAAAUGUUUUCGCUGUGCCUCCUGUACUAAAGGGUUUAACAUUUUAUUCUGGGAAGAUUGGCACUGUUUUAAAAUGCUAUAUACUUUCUCUCAGUUUGUUCUCUUUGGGAUGCUCUGUGGUGCUGAGUGCAGCUUUUUUGAACUGAAUUUUGGCAUUCUGGAGGCUCUUGCUGGCACUUCUGCUUACAAAAAAUCAAGUAAGUCUUGGGACUUGCUGCUAGUGGUUCCCAAACCAGAUCAUUAUGCAAAGGCAGGAGGUACCAGAGCAUCACUGAACUGUGGAAAUAACAGCAUACUUCAUCUCCUGGAGUUUAACUGCUAUUCUGGGAAUAGAUGUCCAUAAUUUUCUUUGCACUGGUUAGCUGUUCAAUAGUUCACAUCCUCAGAUUAUUGGUCAAAAUGCCUACCAGAGUUGGAAAUACUCUUUAGGCUCUCAGCAGGACCAUCCAACACUACAGCACUGUGAUGUGGACAGACAUACAUCCUAUAUGUAAACUCAUGGAUAUUUCUUAAAACCUAGACCCGUUAUAAGCUGCAUCUUAAGAAAACACAUCUGUGCAAUCUGUUCUAAGUAGAUACCCAGCACUCACCAUCACCACUAUUGCAGAAGUUCUAUCAUGUUCCUUCUGCUGCCAUUUUCCUUUGUGGAUCACAAGUUGCUUGCUAUUCUCUGUUACCCCAAAGAUCUCUGUAAGACAAUGGAGAUUUAAGUCAGUACAUUUUUGUUGUGGAAGAAAGGCUGUGAGUGUAGAUAGAUACAAACUGUAGACUGCUUUAGCUCUAAAACUGGUUGUUCUGUAGGUCUUAAUAUCAUUCUCAGUCAGAGAGGUUGCACUGUACAGUUGAACACUGAACACUCUACUGCCUCACCAGACAAUUUUUCUCAAGCUUACUUAUUUUAUUUAGCACAUAAGGUUCCUUGUGCUUGCGGAUAUGAUGAGCUACAGGACCAGUGUUCACAUGCUAUGGAUUUCAUUUAUUACAAAGUGUAGUAUAAAAUAAUGAAAAAUAGCUCCAGCCAUUCCUUCUCUCUCCAGGGUAUCUCAGCACCCCUAUGGAUGACCGCACACAUAGUCAGCUCCAUAGAAACAAAUGGAGAGGAAAUGGCACGGCACUGCUCAAAGCUGGAGGACUGCGCUGGACUGGAAGCAUACUUCAUCCAUAGCUUCUAUUGAAGGUUUAUUACAGAGGCUACUGGAAAGAAAACAAAAAAACAUUUAUAUUUUUUGGGGAAAAGAUGGGCCUUAUAGGUACUGGAGAGCAGGCAGAAAGGAGAAUUCUCUAUUACAAAGGCCUUUAGAAAGUAUUUAUCAAUAAACACCUUGAGGUGUUUCCAAUAGCUCCAAAUGGAGAAUACUCUACGACUCAUAGACUGACUAACACAAGAGAUGCCCGUCAUUGACUCUUAAUGCUCUAUGGAGCAUGAAAACAAUGGCAGGAAAAUAAUAUGAAAAGGCCUUGCAGGUAAUUUCACAGGGUAACAAGGAAUGCCAGGCUCAUUCUAAUUACUGACACUAUGGACAUUUAAAUGAAAUUUGUUCUUUAUAACAUGCCUGGUAUAGAAAUGCAGCAUUAGAUGCCUUUUAUGUGCUCUCAUUCCAUUUGUUAGUUGCACUCAGAAUAUGUUUUUGGGUUUAUUUUUGUAACUGGGAAAAUUGGAACACCAUAUAAAAACAAACAAACUUGAAAUUCUUCCAAUGAUCCCUUCAUUCCAGUAGCUGAGGCUUUAAGGAAUGCCAUGAGAAAACUGCAAGAAUUAAUAAUAGUAACAAUAAAGCAACAAUAAUAAUUGCUAUUAUAGUAAUAAUAAUGUUUUCUUUUUAAUAUUACAUGAACCAAAAAUAAGAUGCAAGGCCACAUUUCAUUGUUUUCUUUUAUGAGCCUGCUAUAACACACUGGCUGUGAGACAGCACUGCCUUGAAAUACCAUUUGGUACUGUGUGUCAAAGAACCUAUCUUUUAUUUAUAUAUUUAAAGCUGUUUGCAACCUGCUUUGAACGUGGCAAGGUUGAUGCCAUCUCCCUUUUAAUGAACUCACAUUGCCGAGUUACUUUUAAUUCACAAACUGUGAGAACAGAAUUUGGCAAAAUACUUUUACACCACCCAAGGAGUCAUUCUGAGGACAAAUUUUCUGAUAUCAGGGUGUCCUCUGUCCUCUGUCUUGUGUUAAUGUCUGCAUUUCAAAUACUCUUCAAAGUACUUGAAUUUCUCACCUUUAGAUCCUUCUUGAUCUGUGUAUGACCUUUAUGGUUUCUUUCCUCUAAAAGGCCUGCUUCUUCCAAUAAAAAGGUGAUUUUUAAAAGAAUUUGUCUUUAUUUGUAUAUAAUCAUUGUAUAGAUUGCAUCAAAUGCUUUAGAACAUACAUGAAAAACACUCUUAGCUUUUCACACGCAGUUAGGAGAUAGGCGUCUCUCUGUGAAGUUUGAGAUGAAAUAUUCAAAUGCAAGAGGAAAAAAACUAUAUCGCCUACCUUAAAAAGGUCUUCAGAAACCUGCUGGGAAGAGUCUGAAGAGGAAAGAUAGGAAUGAUACACCACCAUUUUUGAGAAAGGAUGGGAUAAUCCCAUUGGUUACUACUAUGCAGUAGUGUUUUCAAGGUUACUUUCAACUCCAGAGCAAAUAGUUUGCAAGCUGUCCUGAAGAUUUAGCUAGAAAAGAGAGAUUCUUAGAAGUGAAAAAAGAGAGUCAUAGGCCACUGGGUGCUGUGUAAUUGGCACUCAGCCCCAGUCACAGAAGUGGGAGCUACAUCCAAGCUUUCUCCAUGUUGGAAGUAGGGAAUAUAUUGAAGUUGGAGGCAGUUUAGUGAAAGCUCAUUUGGACUACGUAGUUCUGUAAAAAUGAAACCACUUUACAUACAGCUUCAAAAGUAAGGUUGGAAGCACCAAGUCCCCACAGUUCUGAAAUGUUCUAUUUAAACAGCAUGGAAAUUCAGUAGCUUGAUUCUUGUGUUUUACUUCAGUUUUUAUUUUUUACAAAAGCAUCUACAUAUCUACAUUAAUGUAGAUCUUGCCAUAUCAGUGUAAAAUCACUUUAAAAGCAAAGAAAAAAUCAAAAUAAAACAGUAGUUGAAGGAAAGGUAAUCUUAACCUUCAGAUAUCUCAGAAGAAAUUAUUUUGCCAAGCGGGGAUCUGCAGUGGGUUAAUCAGCCUUUUGCAGAAAGUGAAGGAAGAAAAAUCUCUGACUAAUCUCAAAGUAGUUGUCAUGGGUAAAAUCAUCAAAAUGUAUAGAAGAAACAACACUUUUUAGUUUGAAUGCAUCACAUUUUUUACAGACAGAAAAGACUUCCUAAGGACAUUCUUGCUAUCUUAAAUCCCUCAAUCUUGCUCAGUGUCAUUUCUGAAUGAAACCAUUGUUGAGGCAACACUGAGUUGAAUAGCUCCAUCAACCCUCUUUAAUUUUCUUGGAGAUUAUGGGAAAACCUCUAUAAAUCACUUUUAUGACCUCAUGAAAAACUUGCAGUUGUAUGGCAACACUUGCAUGAAUUAUGAGAUAGCCACAACAAGGACCAAAGAUGUCAAGGAUGCCAAAGCAAAGCUUUUUGUACCCUGGGACAUGGCAUUGCAUUCCUCAAAUCUGGUGUUGGCAGAAACACCAAAGGCAGACAUGGAAUCUAAACUUCUCUCUGUCUCCUAAAUGCAAGGCGGGGAUUUGGAAAAGCUGGGAAGGCACCGUUAAAAUAGCCUUGAGAAGGGUCAUUAGUCUGAAGACGUAGCAAUUUAGUUCUUCAUUAGCAUUAUAAAUUAAGCAGAAUAUACACAUGAAAAAAAUACAAAAAAAAAAAUUCCAGCAUCAUAUACUUUGUGAAAAAAAGAAUGCAGGAAAAAUGCUCUUUUUUUUUUCCUUUAAAAAAAGAAAAAAAUCCUUUGAAGUUUACACAGUAUCUUUUGCUGAGAGACCUCAUGCAGUUCCAGUGAUUUAGUAUCACGCAAUAGACUUCCAGUUGGUCUUUCUUGGAAUUCCUUCUCAAUUACCAUGAUCUCACAGUGUUUUGCUCCCAUGUGUUGAAAUCAAAAGUCCCAAUCCAAGAAUCACCGGGCUUUAUGAAAUUUCAUGGUACUGGAAACCUAAAGCAAAGCCUAAAUUUUGCAACUUUUAGAUGAUAAACUGAGAGACAAACACCUGGAGUGUGUUGGAGCUAGAGACAAUUGUACACGUACUAACUAAAAGUUAUGUGAUUCCAACAGCACUGAAACACUUCAUAGCAACAAAUUGAUUUUGUCAGCACUACUUUCUGGAGGAAAACUGCAAGAAAGGUUCUGGCUGUGCUAGAGAACCCAGGCCAACUUUUCUGACAAGACACUACAAUAUUUGGCUUUGUGCUUUAAUUUUCUACCAUAAUAAUAAUAAUAAAUAAUAAUAAUAAUAAUAAUAAUAAUAAUUAAAAAAAAAGAAGUAAAAUAUUCUAGUUUUGUCAAAAUAUUUUUUUUUUUUCUAUUAUUGACACUAAAUGAAUCUUGAGAUAUUUCCUGGCAAGCGUACUGAAUGUUUCAAUUGUCACCCGCAUUCAGAGCAGAGUCAGACUCCCAAAUCUCCCCCCACUGCUACUGAAUAAAAUGUUUAUCCUCUAUCAAUGGCAGCAACAUUCUGUUUAGGCAACCCAAACAUAACCCCGCGGUGAGUUCCCGGAAUAGAAAUGGCAGAAGGUCCUGGGUUCAGCCUGAGUGAGCUUUGGCCAGGCUGACAUACUCUCACCUCCUUCUGUCCCCCACACCCCAGUGUGCAGAGGGAAGCCACAAAUGUCACUCUGAGGCACCCCUGGGGAUGGAUAUUAUUGAUGUUCUGCUGGCCGUGCUACAGCAAAGUGUCCUGCAGCUGCGGUAAGAUGUGGAAAGCAGAUUUGCUCUCCUGUUUGAUUUCCACUUUCUCUCCUUCCUCCUCUCACUUUGGAUAACUCUGCGACUUCUCUUGCACCUUAGAAGUUUUAGUUUGGGAUAGAAGCAGCCAUUGGAUACGAGGAACUGGGGCUCUGUGUUGUGAUUCAGACAAGCCCAUAUUCCAUUUUUUUAACUGGUCUUGGCACCUCUCUUUGGAACAGAGAGCUGAGAUGAUAUGCUUUCUGCUUUCUCCAUUCCUGAGGUCUGCUCACACUGCUAUUUCCCCUAAUCCUCUUGCCCAGGCCCUGCUGUUUGAGCCAAUUCGCUGAGCUUCUUCUCUCUCUUUUUCCCCCUGCCAUUAUUCCAGGUGGUUACCCAUCCCAUUUCACUUCAGAGUGUCACCAGGUUGCUGCCAAAAUCUCUUCUGUUUUCUCUCCCGUUGUGUUCACUCUUUCUCUUUUUUUAACUUUUAAUCUCAGCCCUGGGUGAGGUGCACUGAGCAGUCAUGAUGAAGCUUUCAGGAUGUUAGAAAGUAAACUGCUGGAAGAGGUCAGCGAGAGCAAAAACCAAUAAAGCACAAGAAAGAAGUUUGAUACAUACGAACAAAACAAUUGGUAAUGAUGUGAAAUAGUUGGGUCAACCAAGGGCUGUGCACAAAUGAAAAGAUUCACCUCCAAACACCUGAAAAGUUUACCUAACCUGCUUUUCCUUGACAGGAGUUAGUCUGUUGCCAUGAACCACCGCUAACAGCUUUACACCUUAUGUUUAUUUGCACAUCUCCAGGCAUAGAUGAGCAUCUGGC
Lagopus muta (rock ptarmigan) is the source of this 17871-nucleotide long non-coding RNA. RefSeq lists it as uncharacterized. The transcript has 4 exons. Lineage: Eukaryota; Metazoa; Chordata; Aves; Galliformes; Phasianidae. The record is from RefSeq and is a predicted model, not a curated record.